GAUGAACGCUGGCGGCGUGCCUAAUACAUGCAAGUCGAGCGAACGGACGAGAAGCUUGCUUCUCUGAUGUUAGCGGCGGACGGGUGAGUAACACGUGGAUAACCUACCUAUAAGACUGGGAUAACUUCGGGAAACCGGAGCUAAUACCGGAUAAUAUUUUGAACCGCAUGGUUCAAAAGUGAAAGACGGUCUUGCUGUCACUUAUAGAUGGAUCCGCGCUGCAUUAGCUAGUUUGUAAGGUAACGGCUUACCAAGGCAACGAUGCAUAGCCGACCUGAGAGGGUGGUCGGCCACACUGGAACUGAGACACGGUCCAGACGCCUACGGGAGGCAGCAGUAGGGAAUCUUCCGCAAUGGGCGAAAGCCUUGCGGAGCAACGCCGCGUGAGUGAUGAAGGUCUUCGGAUCGUAAAACUCUGUUAUUAGGUAAGAACAUAUGUGUAAGUAACUGUGCACAUCUUGACGGUACCUAAUCAGAAAGCCACGGCUAACUACGUG
Molecule: ribosomal RNA, 497 nt
Filed under: uncultured bacterium
Lineage: Bacteria
Description: partial 16S ribosomal RNA
Rfam family: Bacterial small subunit ribosomal RNA
Source: RNAcentral